AAGCUGCAGUAGGGAAUCUUCCACAAUGGGCGAAAGCUGAUGAGCACGCGCGUGUGUGAUGAAGCUUUAGGGUCGUAAGCACUGUGUAUGGGAAGAAAUGCUAGAAUAGGGAAUGAUUCUAGUCGACGGUACCAUACCAGAAAGGGACGGCUAAAUACGUGCCAGCAGCCGCGGUAAUACGUAUGUCCCGAGCGUUAUCCGGAUUUAUUGGGCGUAAAGCGAGCGCAGACGGUUGAUUAAGUCUGAUGUGAAAGCCCGGAGCUCAACUCCGGAAUGGCAUUGGAAACUGGUUAACUUGAGUGUUGUAGAGGUAAGUGGAACUCCAUGUGUAGCGGUGGAAUGCGUAGAUAUAUGGAAGAACACCAGUGGCGAAGGCGGCUUACUGGACAACAACUGACGUUGAGGCUCGAAAGUGUGGGUAGCAAACAGGAUUAGAUACCCUGGUAGUCCACACCGUAAACGAUGAAUACUAGGUGUUAGGAGGUUUCCGCCUCUUAGUGCCGAAGCUAACGCAUUAAGUAUUCCGCCUGGGGAGUACGACCGCAAGGUUGAAACUCAAAGGAAUUGACGGGGACCCGCACAAGCGGUGGAGCAUGUGGUUUAAUUCGAAGCAACGCGAAGAACCUUACCAGGUCUUGACAUCCUUUGAAGCUUUUAGAGAUAGAAGUGUUCUCUUCGGAGACAAAGUGACAGGUGGUGCAUGGUCGUCGUCAGCUCGUGUCGUGAGAUGUUGGGUUAAGUCCCGCAACGAGCGCAACCCUUAUUGUUAGUUGCCAGCAUUCAGUUGGGCACUCUAGCGAGACUGCCGGUGACAAACCGGAGGAAGGCGGGGACGACGUCAGAUCAUCAUGCCCCUUAUGACCUGGGCUACACACGUGCUACAAUGGCGUAUACAACGAGUUGCCAACCCGCGAGGGUGAGCUAAUCUCUUAAAGUACGUCUCAGUUCGGACUGCAGUCUGCAACUCGACUGCACGAAGUCGGAAUCGCUAGUAAUCGCGGAUCAGCACGCCGCGGUGAAUACGUUCCCGGGUCUUGUACACACCGCCCGUCACACCAUGGGAGUUUGUAAUGCCCAAAGCCGGUGGCCUAACCUUCGGGAGGAGCCGUCUAAGCAGACAAUUCG
RNAcentral lists this ribosomal RNA (1125 nucleotides) under Leuconostoc garlicum. RNAcentral describes it as "bacterial SSU rRNA". It matches the Rfam family "Bacterial small subunit ribosomal RNA", at positions 346 to 1478 of the family's 1533-position model. The record is from RNAcentral. Lineage: Bacteria; Bacillati; Bacillota; Bacilli; Lactobacillales; Lactobacillaceae.